RNAcentral lists this ribosomal RNA (326 nucleotides) under uncultured bacterium. Its description in RNAcentral is "bacterial SSU rRNA". It matches the Rfam family "Bacterial small subunit ribosomal RNA", at positions 182 to 509 of the family's 1533-position model. The record is from RNAcentral.
UUGCGGGGCAUCUAACGAGGAGCAAAGAUUCAUCGUAAGGGAUGGGGAUGCGUCUGAUUAGCCAGUUGGCGGGGUAACGGCCCACCAAGGCGACGAUCAGUAGGGGUUCUGAGAGGAAGGUCCCCCACAUUGGUACUGAGACACGGUCCAAACUCCUACGGGAGGCAGCAGUGAGGAAUAUUGGUCAAUGGUCGAGAGACUGAACCAGCCAAGUAGCGUGAGGGAAGACUGCCCUAUGGGUUGUAAACCUCUUUGUUUGGGAAUAAAGUGAGCCACGUGUGGCUUUUGUAUGUACCUUACGAAUAAGCAUCGGCUAAUUCCGUGCC